UUAGUGUUGAAAUUAAUGUUUUUUUUAUCCUGUGAAAUGCAACAAGGCAAUUGUCAUCAAAGUCAAAAGGAACAUCUUGAUUUAGUAAAUUAGUUAAAGGCUUAGCUAUUUUGGAAAAAUCCUUGAUGAAUCUUCUGUAGAAGCCCGCAUGUCUCAAAAAGCUUCGCACUCCUUUGAUUGAUAAAGGUGGUGGCAUUUCUUUAAUGAUCUCAAUUUUUG
Molecule: unclassified non-coding RNA, 219 nt
Filed under: Hevea brasiliensis (rubber tree)
Lineage: Eukaryota; Viridiplantae; Streptophyta; Magnoliopsida; Malpighiales; Euphorbiaceae
Source: RNAcentral